UGGGGAAUAUUGCACAAUGGGCGAAAGCCUGAUGCAGCGACGCCGCGUGAGGGAUGACGGCCUUCGGGUUGUAAACCUCUUUCAGCAGGGAAGAAGCGAAAGUGACGGUACCUGCAGAAGAAGCGCCGGCUAACUACGUGCCAGCAGCCGCGGUAAUACGUAGGGCGCAAGCGUUGUCCGGAAUUAUUGGGCGUAAAGAGCUCGUAGGCGGUUAGUCGCGUCUGCUGUGAAAACUCGAGGCUCAACCUCGGGCUUGCAGUGGGUACGGGCUGACUAGAGUGCGGUAGGGGUGACUGGAAUUCCUGGUGUAGCGGUGGAAUGCGCAGAUAUCAGGAGGAACACCGAUGGCGAAGGCAGGUCACUGGGCCGCAACUGACGCUGAGGAGCGAAAGCAUGGGAGCGAACAGGAUUAGAUAGCCCUGGUAGUCCAUGCCGUAAACGUUGGCACUAGGUGUGGGUCCAUUCCACGGAUUCCGUACCGCAGCAAACGCAUUAAGUGCCCGCUGGGGAGUACGGCCGCAAGGCUAAAACUCAAAUGAAUUGACGGGGUCAUAGCUGUUUCCU
This 564-nucleotide ribosomal RNA is filed under the name uncultured bacterium. Its description in RNAcentral is "partial 16S ribosomal RNA". It matches the Rfam family "Bacterial small subunit ribosomal RNA", at positions 355 to 1375 of the family's 1533-position model. The record is from RNAcentral.